This 24-nucleotide non-coding RNA is filed under the name Arabidopsis thaliana (thale cress). The record is from RNAcentral. Lineage: Eukaryota; Viridiplantae; Streptophyta; Magnoliopsida; Brassicales; Brassicaceae.
UACACUAACUAACGCCGUAGCCUC